AAUGAAAUUGCUGGAUUGUAUUUUAAGUGUAUGUUUAACUUUUUAACAGUCAGCCAAACAGUUUUUGAAAGUGACUGUACCAUUUUAUAUUUCCAGCAGGAGU
This 103-nucleotide microRNA precursor is filed under the name Marmota monax (woodchuck). Lineage: Eukaryota; Metazoa; Chordata; Mammalia; Rodentia; Sciuridae. The record is from RNAcentral.